This 21-nucleotide small RNA is filed under the name Arabidopsis thaliana (thale cress). RNAcentral describes it as "Ath_wt_07617". The record is from RNAcentral. Lineage: Eukaryota; Viridiplantae; Streptophyta; Magnoliopsida; Brassicales; Brassicaceae.
GAACCGUGAAAGCGUGGCCUA